GACGAACGCUGGCGGCGUGCUUAACACAUGCAAGUCGAACGGAAAGGCCCUGCUUUUGUGGGGUGCUCGAGUGGCGAACGGGUGAGUAACACGUGAGUAACCUGCCCUGGACUUUGGGAUAACUUCAGGAAACGGGGGCUAAUACCGGAUAGGGGCUCCGGCUGCAUGGGGGGGGUUGGAAAUUUUCGGCGGUUGGGGAUGGACUCGCGGCUUAUCAGCUUGUUGGUGGGGUAGUGGCUUACCAAGGCUUUGACGGGUAGCCGGCCUGAGAGGGUGACCGGCCACAUUGGGACUGAGAUACGGCCCAGACUCCUACGGGAGGCAGCAGUGGGGAAUAUUGCACAAUGGGCGGAAGCCUGAUGCAGCAACGCCGCGUGCGGGAUGACGGCCUUCGGGUUGUAAACCGCUUUCGCCUGUGACGAAGCGUGAGUGACGGUAAUGGGUAAAGAAGCACCGGCUAACUACGUG
This 468-nucleotide ribosomal RNA is filed under the name uncultured bacterium. RNAcentral's name for it is "partial 16S ribosomal RNA". It matches the Rfam family "Bacterial small subunit ribosomal RNA", at positions 28 to 507 of the family's 1533-position model. The record is from RNAcentral.